This 66-nucleotide transfer RNA is filed under the name Pachydactylus latirostris. RNAcentral's name for it is "Pachydactylus mariquensis latirostris tRNA-Trp". Lineage: Eukaryota; Metazoa; Chordata; Lepidosauria; Squamata; Gekkonidae. The record is from RNAcentral.
AAGUUUAGGUUACCCAAACCGAGAGCCUUCAAAGCCCUAGACAGAGCCCCCCCCCUCUAACUUCUG